AAGCCCGUGUUCUCAGGGAUCAUCUCUAUAGUUUGUUACUAGAGAAGUUUCUCUGAUCAUGUAGAGUACCCGAAACCACAAGAAGGGGCCAGAGCAUGCUCUCCUGAGUGUGAAGCUGGUUUUAGGUAUUAAUUACUUUUGCCACUGCCUUUUACCAGUAAUGAUUGUUCUUCUCUUCCGCUGGAAGAGGAAGAGGGAGAGGAUGCAGUCUGUUAG
This 216-nucleotide small nucleolar RNA is filed under the name Sorex araneus (European shrew). RNAcentral's name for it is "Small nucleolar RNA U3 (ENSSARG00000014832.1)". It matches the Rfam family "Small nucleolar RNA U3". Rfam says of the family: Small nucleolar RNAs (snoRNAs) are involved in the processing and modification of rRNA in the nucleolus. There are two main classes of snoRNAs: the box C/D class, and the box H/ACA class. U3 snoRNA is a member of the box C/D class. The record is from RNAcentral. Lineage: Eukaryota; Metazoa; Chordata; Mammalia; Eulipotyphla; Soricidae.